GUCAUCUUCAACCUCGUUACAUUCUGGACAUCUUCUCUUUUAAAUCACUUGAAUGGUCUUCAAAUAGCAUUACCCACGAGGAUAUGCCUCACUACCACAAGCCACGCCGACGCAUACACCAAAGAAGGAGCAGCAUCACAUCCUCGUCUGUCUCUGCGGUGUGGUGUGGCGGCGGCUGUGCGUGUCCUGCGGAGCACCUAGUAGGAUAACAACAUUAGAAAAGGUAGAUGUGGUUUUGGUCACACCUUCCUUGCAAUUAUCCUAGGGUGCAGAUUCUUUAUGUUAACUUUCAAAGCUUGCUGGAUAACAAUUGGUACAUCCAUGCAACUGGUACAGUUUAUGUAAACAUGUGUAUAUCAAAUAGUAGGAAAAUAAUAUUGGCAGACUGAUUUCUCCUAUGGUGAAAACAAUGCUGCAAUUAGCGAUAAGACAUGGGACUUUAAGACAAAAAAAUAAUGGCCAAUUACAUGAGUGGUGUCAGGUUUCAAAGAGUUUGUAAAUAUCAAGAUUACUAAAGUACAGUGAUUAAAAGGGGAACAUGACUACUGAACAUUAUUUUUUGCCAAAUUAUUAUCUUCGAAGAAGUCUCACAGAAAAAAGAAAUAGAUAAGUUGUAAAGAUCACUGUGCAUUUUCACUAAAUCUUGAACUAUAUUCAGUUCAUAAAUUUAAAAGCAUUCUCUCAAGGGCUUGAACAAAGAAAGAUGAUAAGAGCCGGAGAUUAACUACAUUGGAGGUUUCAACAACAUAUACAUAGCAGCAACUCUUAUAGAUCCUUCCUAACAUAUGCAGUAGGAAUAUUUUGGUAGGGAAUCGAAGAUAAAUAAAAUUUAGCUAGUCCUAACCAUUUAUGUGGGGUUACAUUAUGUAUUCAACGACCCUGAGAAUAGUGCAUGCAAUUUAAGGGUAUGGAGUCAUACUUGUCUGCAGUUAUAAAAGAAGAGUUGCUUGUCUACUGCAUGAGUUCAAGAGCGAAGAACGUGAUUAGUUUCAAGGAGGUCA
This 1001-nucleotide long non-coding RNA is filed under the name Triticum aestivum (bread wheat). RNAcentral's name for it is "long non-coding RNA (TAES_LNC027646)". Lineage: Eukaryota; Viridiplantae; Streptophyta; Magnoliopsida; Poales; Poaceae. The record is from RNAcentral.